This 1398-nucleotide ribosomal RNA is filed under the name Triticum aestivum (bread wheat). RNAcentral describes it as "partial small subunit ribosomal RNA". The record is from RNAcentral. Lineage: Eukaryota; Viridiplantae; Streptophyta; Magnoliopsida; Poales; Poaceae.
AUGGCCUUGCCGGCGAUCCCCGACGAGCUCCUGGUGGAAAUCCUCCUCCGCCUCCCCACCGCAGCCGACCUCAUCCGCGCCUCGGCCGCCUGCGUCUCCUUCCGCCGCCUAAUCGCCGGCCGCUCCUUCACCCGUCGCUUCCGCAAGCUCCACCCGCCGCCCCUUCUCGGCUUCCUCGACACAGGGCGGCUUCGCUUCCACCCCGCCGUCCCGCCUCACCCCUCCGCGCCCGCGGCCAGGGCCGUCGCCAGCGCCGCCGACUUCUCCUUCGACUUCCUCCCCUCCCCUUGCUCCUCGCGGCCCUGGUCCGUGCAGGAUGUGCUUGACGGCCGCGUACUCCUCGAAAGGCCCCGCCCCCGCCGUCGCGAAUCUCCCUCCAAUGAGAUGGUCGUGUGCGACCCCUUGCACCGGCACUAUCUCUUGCUUCCCCGGAUCCCCGAUGACCUAGCCGCUUCGGUUGUCCACGCACAAGGGUUCUGCUACGAAGACUCCUGCCUCGUCCCUUCCGGCGACCACGAGGAGGCAGCUGCGACGGACGAGGCUUCAUUCAGGGUGAUCUGGAUGAUGCUGCUCCCAACUAAGCCGGUGAUCUUUGUCUUCUGCUCGGGCACAGGGCAAUGGCGAACAGUUCCAUCACUGACUUGGAGCGAGAUGUCGCCUGGCUUUGUGUUAUCGACACAUGUGUUUUCUUUCCUGAGGCGCCAUUACGCCCAUGGCUGUUUCUACUGGACUUCAUGCUCCACCGAGAAAUUCCUCGCGCUCGACAUCAGGAGGAUGGAGUUCUCCGUGGCUGUCCACCCACCCUGUGAAAGAAAACCGGGUGAGAAUGUGGUGAUCGCGGAGGCAGACCAAGGCAUGAUUCUCAUGUUUGUGCCUAAGCCUAACACGUCUCCCGUUAUUUAUACUGUUUGGCGAAACAAUGGUGGGAGGUUCACCCAGUGGCAGAUGGAGAAGCCAAUCACGCUGGAUUCUGGGUCCGGCCUCAUGGGUGCAGCGGGGAGGCAUUUGCUCCUAUAUUAUUGCGGAACCUCGUCGGUCGGCCGAAGUUGUUUCACGCGGGACGUUAACACAUUCCAGCUCGAGAGGGUGUGUUCUGCAUAUCCCAAACAGACACACGCAUAUUGCAACUUCCCACCGUCGCUAUUAUCGUCACCGACAGUGUCAAUUGGCACACCCCAUGCUGACAUCUGGGAAGUGGAGGACGUUGUGCCGGUGCCUGAAGCACGAGAAGCUGGCCCUGGAGGCGUGCAAGGACCCGUCCUCGCAUCCGCCGCCCAAGCCCCAAAACCCUCGUUCGACAACAAUGGUGCGGAGGCGGGUCGUGGUGGGGCGAGAAGAUGGCGCUGGGGCUGGGGCUGGACCUGCGGAGUCUGUAGGGGGCAGGUAGCCGAGGUGUGA